This 170-nucleotide unclassified non-coding RNA is filed under the name soil metagenome. Its description in RNAcentral is "partial internal transcribed spacer 1". The record is from RNAcentral.
CCGAGUAUCGGGUCUCCGGGCCCUACUCCCACCCUCUGUGUACCUACCUAUUUUUCGUUGCCUUGGCGGGGUCGGUCCCCGUGGCCCCUGCGGCCACGUGGGGGACCCGCCGGGGGAACACGCCUAAACUCUAUUUUAACGUCUCGUCUGAGAAAACACAUAAUAAGUCA